GGGGCCGUAGUCUAGCCUGGCUAGGAUGCCGGCCUGGGGCGCCGGUGAUCCCGGG
Molecule: transfer RNA, 55 nt
Filed under: Pyrobaculum sp. OCT_11
Lineage: Archaea; Thermoproteati; Thermoproteota; Thermoprotei; Thermoproteales; Thermoproteaceae
Description: tRNA-Pro
Source: RNAcentral